UGUGACCUCAUUGAAUGGUUGUAUCCCAUG
This 30-nucleotide non-coding RNA is filed under the name Rattus norvegicus (Norway rat). The record is from RNAcentral. Lineage: Eukaryota; Metazoa; Chordata; Mammalia; Rodentia; Muridae.